Molecule: transfer RNA, 75 nt
Filed under: Hyphomicrobium sp.
Lineage: Bacteria; Pseudomonadati; Pseudomonadota; Alphaproteobacteria; Hyphomicrobiales; Hyphomicrobiaceae
Also listed under: 4 other names
Description: tRNA-Lys
Rfam family: tRNA
About the family: Transfer RNA (tRNA) molecules are approximately 80 nucleotides in length. Their secondary structure includes four short double-helical elements and three loops (D, anti-codon, and T loops).
Source: RNAcentral
GGGCGGGUAGCUCAGUGGUAGAGCAUCUGACUUUUAAUCAGAUGGUCGUGGGUUCGAUCCCCACCCCGCUCACCA